AGCGAACGCUGGCGGCAGGCCUAACACAUGCAAGUCGAACGAACUCUUCGGAGUUAGUGGCGGACGGGUGAGUAACACGUGGGAACGUGCCUUUAGGUACGGAAUAACUCAGGGAAACUUGUGCUAAUACCGAAUGUGUCCUUCGGGGGAAAGAUUUAUCGCCUUUAGAGCGGCCCGCGUCUGAUUAGCUAGUUGGUGAGGUAAAGGCUCACCAAGGCGACGAUCAGUAGCUGGUCUGAGAGGAUGAUCAGCCACAUUGGGACUGAGACACGGCCCAAACUCCUACGGGAGGCAGCAGUGGGGAAUCUUGCGCAAUGGGCGAAAGCCUGACGCAGCCAUGCCGCGUGAAUGAUGAAGGUCUUAGGAUUGUAAAAUUCUUUCACCGGGGACGAUAAUGACGGUACCCGGAGAAGAAGCCCCGGCUAACUUCGUGCCAGCCGCCGCGGUAA
Molecule: ribosomal RNA, 449 nt
Filed under: uncultured bacterium
Lineage: Bacteria
Description: partial 16S ribosomal RNA
Rfam family: Bacterial small subunit ribosomal RNA
Source: RNAcentral